CAGCCGCCGCGGUAAUACGGAGGGUGCGAGCGUUAAUCGGAAUCACUGGGCGUAAAGGGCGCGUAGGCGGUUAGGUAAGUCGGAUGUGAAAGCCCUGGGCUUAACCUGGGAAUGGCAUUCGAGACUGUCUAUCUAGAGUCUGGUAGAGGGAAGUGGAAUUUCCGGUGUAGCGGUGAAAUGUGUAGAUAUCGGAAGGAACACCAGUGGCGAAGGCGACUUCCUGGACCAAGACUGACGCUGAGGCGCGAAAGCGUGGGGAUCAAACAGGAUUAGAUACCCUGGUAGUCCACGCCCUAAACGAUGAGAACUGGCCGUUGGGGGAGUUAAAUCCCUGAGUGGCUCAGCUAACGCGAUAAGUUCUCCGCCUGGGGAGUACGGCCGCAAGGCUAAAACUCAAAGGAAUUGACGG
Molecule: ribosomal RNA, 409 nt
Filed under: uncultured soil bacterium
Lineage: Bacteria
Description: bacterial SSU rRNA
Rfam family: Bacterial small subunit ribosomal RNA
Source: RNAcentral